GACGAACGCUGGCGGCGUGCUUAACACAUGCAAGUCGAACGGAAAGGCCCUGCUUUUGUGGGGUGCUCGAGUGGCGAACGGGUGAGUAACACGUGAGUAACCUGCCCUUGACUUUGGGAUAACUUCAGGAAACUGGGGCUAAUACCGGAUAGGAGCUCCUGCUGCAUGGGGGGGGUUGGAAAGUUUCGGCGGUUGGGGCUGGACUCGCGGCUUAUCAGCUUGUUGGUGGGGUAGGGGCUUACCAAGGCUUUGACGGGUAGCCGGCCUGAGAGGGUGACCGGCCACAUUGGGACUGAGGUACGGCCCAGACUCCUACGGGAGGCAGCAGUGGGGAAUAUUGCACAAUGGGCGGAAGCCUGAUGCAGCAACGCCGCGUGCGGGAUGACGGCCUUCGGGUUGUAAACCGCUUUCGCCUGUGACGAAGCGUGAGUGACGGUAAUGGGUAAAGAAGCACCGGCUAACUGCGUG
This 468-nucleotide ribosomal RNA is filed under the name uncultured bacterium. Its description in RNAcentral is "partial 16S ribosomal RNA". It matches the Rfam family "Bacterial small subunit ribosomal RNA", at positions 28 to 507 of the family's 1533-position model. The record is from RNAcentral.